This 253-nucleotide ribosomal RNA is filed under the name uncultured bacterium. RNAcentral's name for it is "partial 16S ribosomal RNA". It matches the Rfam family "Bacterial small subunit ribosomal RNA", at positions 524 to 776 of the family's 1533-position model. The record is from RNAcentral.
UACGUAGGGUGCGAGCGUUAAUCGGAAUUACUGGGCGUAAAGCGUGCGCAGGCGGUUUUGUAAGCCAGAUGUGAAAGCCCCGGGCUUAACCUGGGAAUGGCAUUUGGGACUGCAAGGCUUGAGUGCGGCAGAGGAGACUGGAAUUCCCGGUGUAGCAGUGAAAUGCGUAGAUAUCGUAAGGAAGACCAGUGGCGAAGGCGAGUCUCUGGACAGUUACUGACGCUGAGGCACGAAGGCCAGGGGAGCAAACGGG